RNAcentral lists this ribosomal RNA (368 nucleotides) under uncultured organism. RNAcentral's name for it is "bacterial SSU rRNA". It matches the Rfam family "Bacterial small subunit ribosomal RNA", at positions 526 to 896 of the family's 1533-position model. The record is from RNAcentral.
CGGAGGGUGCAAGCGUUAUCCGGAUUCACUGGGUUUAAAGGGUGCGUAGGCGGACAUUUAAGUCAGUGGUGAAAUACCUGAGCUUAACUUGGGAACUGCCAUUGAUACUAUUUGUCUUGAAUGUCGUGGAGGUUAGCGGAAUAUGUCAUGUAGCGGUGAAAUGCUUAGAUAUGACAUAGAACACCUAUUGCGAAGGCAGCUAACUACGCGAAUAUUGACGCUGAGGCACGAAAGCGUGGGGAUCAAACAGGAUUAGAUACCCUGGUAGUCCACGCCCUAAACGAUGAUUACUCGACAUUGGCGAUACACUGUCAGUGUCUGAGCGAAAGCAUUAAGUAAUCCACCUGGGAAGUACGACCGCAAGGUUG